UGCGAAAGCGUGGGUAGCAAACAGGAUUAGAUACCCUGGUAGUCCACGCCGUAAACGCUGUCUACUUGGAGGUUGAGGUUUUAGACUUUGGCUUUCGGCGCUAACGCAUUAAGUAGACCGCCUGGGGAGUACGGCCGCAAGGUUAAAACUCAAAUGAAUUGACGGGGGCCCGCACAAGCGGUGGAGCAUGUGGUUUAAUUCGAUGCAACGCGAAGAACCUUACCUACUCUUGACAUCCAGCGAAGCCUUUAGAGAUAGAGGCGUGCCUUCGGGAGCGCUGAGACAGGUGCUGCAUGGCUGUCGUCAGCUCGUGUUGUGAAAUGUUGGGUUAAGUCCCGUAACGAGCGCAACCCUUGUCCUUAUUUGCCAGCGGGUAAUGCCGGGAACUCUAAGGAGACUGCCGGUGACAAACCGGAGGAAGGUGGGGACGACGUCAAGUCAUCAUGGCCCUUACGAGUAGGGCUACACACGUGCUACAAUGGCCGGUACAAAGGGUUGCGAGCUCGCGAGAGUCAGCUAAUCCCGAAAAGCCGGUCUCAGUCCGGAUCGGAGUCUGCAACUCGACUCCGUGAAGUCGGAAUCGCUAGUAAUCGUGAAUCAGAAUGUCACGGUGAAUACGUUCCCGGGCCUUGUACACACCGCCCGU
RNAcentral lists this ribosomal RNA (646 nucleotides) under uncultured bacterium. Its description in RNAcentral is "bacterial SSU rRNA". It matches the Rfam family "Bacterial small subunit ribosomal RNA", at positions 752 to 1397 of the family's 1533-position model. The record is from RNAcentral.